ACGAACGCUGGCGGCGUGCCUAAUACAUGCAAGUCGAGCGAAUGGAUGGGAGCUUGCUCCCUGAAGUUAGCGGCGGACGGGUGAGUAACACGUGGGCAACCUGCCUGUAAGACUGGGAUAACUUCGGGAAACCGGAGCUAAUACCGGAUACGUUCUUUCCUCGCAUGAGGAAAGAUGGAAAGACGGUUUCGGCUGUCACUUACAGAUGGGCCCGCGGCGCAUUAGCUAGUUGGUGAGGUAAUGGCUCACCAAGGCCACGAUGCGUAGCCG
RNAcentral lists this ribosomal RNA (270 nucleotides) under Bacillus sp. ISOM484_OTU699. RNAcentral's name for it is "partial 16S ribosomal RNA". It matches the Rfam family "Bacterial small subunit ribosomal RNA", at positions 29 to 289 of the family's 1533-position model. The record is from RNAcentral. Lineage: Bacteria; Bacillati; Bacillota; Bacilli; Caryophanales; Bacillaceae.